CCUACGGGUGGCAGCAGUGAGGAAUAUUGGUCAAUGGACGAGAGUCUGAACCAGCCAAGUAGCAUGAAGGAUGACUGCCCUAUGGGUUGUAAACUUCUUUUAUAUGGGAAUAAAAUGUUCCACGUGUGGGAUUUUGUAUGUACCAUAUGAAUAAGGAUCGGCUAACUCCGUGCCAGCAGCCGCGGUAAUACGGAGGAUCCGAGCGUUAUCCGGAUUUAUUGGGUUUAAAGGGAGCGUAGGUGGAUUGUUAAGUCAGUUGUGAAAGUUUGCGGCUCAACCGUAAAAUUGCAGUUGAAACUGGCAGUCUUGAGUACAGUAGAGGUGGGCGGAAUUCGUGGUGUAGCGGUGAAAUGCUUAGAUAUCACGAAGAACUCCGAUUGUGAAGGCAGUUCACUGGACUGCAACUGACACUGAGGCUCGAAAGUGUGGGUAUCAAACAGGAUUAGAUACCCGGGUAGUC
RNAcentral lists this ribosomal RNA (460 nucleotides) under uncultured bacterium. Its description in RNAcentral is "partial 16S ribosomal RNA". It matches the Rfam family "Bacterial small subunit ribosomal RNA", at positions 338 to 795 of the family's 1533-position model. The record is from RNAcentral.